GAUGAACGCUAGCUACAGGCUUAACACAUGCAAGUCGAGGGGCAGCAUGAACUUAGCUUGCUAAGUUUGAUGGCGACCGGCGCACGGGUGAGUAACACGUAUCCAACCUGCCGAUGACUCGGGGAUAGCCUUUCGAAAGAAAGAUUAAUACCCGAUGGCAUAGUUCUUCCGCAUGGUAGAACUAUUAAAGAAUUUCGGUCAUCGAUGGGGAUGCGUUCCAUUAGGUUGUUGGCGGGGUAACGGCCCACCAAGCCUUCGAUGGAUAGGGGUUCUGAGAGGAAGGUCCCCCACAUUGGAACUGAGACACGGUCCAAACUCCUACGGGAGGCAGCAGUGAGGAAUAUUGGUCAAUGGACGAGAGUCUGAACCAGCCAAGUAGCGUGAAGGAUGACUGCCCUAUGGGUUGUAAACUUCUUUUAUACGGGAAUAAAGUGAGGCACGUGUGCCUUUUUGUAUGUACCGGAUGAAUAAGGAUCGGCUAACUCCGUG
This 489-nucleotide ribosomal RNA is filed under the name uncultured bacterium. Its description in RNAcentral is "partial 16S ribosomal RNA". It matches the Rfam family "Bacterial small subunit ribosomal RNA", at positions 28 to 507 of the family's 1533-position model. The record is from RNAcentral.